RNAcentral lists this ribosomal RNA (458 nucleotides) under uncultured bacterium. RNAcentral describes it as "partial 16S ribosomal RNA". It matches the Rfam family "Bacterial small subunit ribosomal RNA", at positions 338 to 795 of the family's 1533-position model. The record is from RNAcentral.
CCUACGGGAGGCAGCAGUGAGGAAUAUUGGUCAAUGGGCGAGAGCCUGAACCAGCCAAGUCGCGUGAGGGAGUACUGCCCUAUGGGUUGUAAACCUCUUUUGUCGGGGAGCAAAAGCCGGACGUGUCCGGCUGUGAGAGUACCCGAAGAAAAAGCAUCGGCUAACUCCGUGCCAGCAGCCGCGGUAAUACGGGGGAUGCGAGCGUUAUCCGGAUUUAUUGGGGUUAAAGGGUGCGCAGGCGGAUGUUUAAGUCAGCGGUCAAAUCGUGGGGCUCAACCCCAUCCAGCCGUUGAAACUGGGGAUCUAGAGUGUGCGAGAGGUAUGCGGAAUGCGUGGUGUAGCGGUGAAAUGCAUAGAUAUCACGCAGAACCCCGAUUGCGAAGGCAGCAUACCGGUGCACAACUGACGCUCAGGCACGAAAGCGUGGGUAUCGAACAGGAUUAGAUACCCCAGUAGUC